This 1854-nucleotide long non-coding RNA is filed under the name Monodelphis domestica (gray short-tailed opossum). RNAcentral describes it as "lncRNA (ENSMODG00000049642.1)". Lineage: Eukaryota; Metazoa; Chordata; Mammalia; Didelphimorphia; Didelphidae. The record is from RNAcentral.
UAGUAUAAUAGCCUUUGCAGAUGAUCAGACACAAGGCGAUAAACAACUAAAUUCAACUUUUAUGCCAGAAAGACAGAGACAGAGAAAGAAAGAAAGAAAGAAAGAAAGAAAGAAAGAAAGAAAGAAAGAAAGAGAGAGAAAGAGAGAAAAAAGAAAGAAAGAAAGAAAGAAAGAGAAAGAGAAAAAAGAAAGAAAGAAAGAAAGAGAGAGAAAGAGAAAAAAGAAAGAAAGAAAGAAAGAAAGAGAAAGGAAGGAAGAAAGAAAGAAAGAAAGAAAGAAGAAAGGAAGAGAAGGAAGGAAGGAAGGAAGGAAGGGAAGGAAAGAAAGAAAGAAAGAAAGAAAGAAAGAAAGAAAGAAAGAAAGAAAGAAAGAAAGAAAGAAAGAAAGAAAGAAAGAAAGAAAGAAAGAAAGAAAGAAAGAAAGAAAGAAAGAAAGAAAGAAGGAAAGAAGGAAAGAAGGAAAGAAGGAAAGAAGGAAAGAAAGAAGGAAGGAAGGAAGGAACAAAAGAAAGAAAGAAGGAAGGAAGGAAAGAAGGAAGGAAGGAAAGAAAGAAAGAGAGAGAGAGAGAAAGAAAGAAAGAAAGAAAGAAAGAAAGAAAGAAAGAAAGAAAGAAAGAAAGAAAGAAAGAAAGAAAGAAAGAAAGAAAGAAAGAAAGAAAGAAAGAAAGAAAGUUAAUUGUUUAGCAAAAUUAGAGAAUACUGCAAACAAACCCAAUAGUAUAUGCGGUGUUCUGGUCCUCUACCUCUGCAAAUAAGGGUUGGAGAGGAAUUCUCACAUCUUUUUAAUCAGCUUGGUCAUUUUCGUGACAAUAUUGAGUUUUAACUUUUCAUUGUUUUUCUUCUAUUCUAUUUACAAUCAUUGUUGAACUGUUUUUCCUAAUUGAAACACUUUCUGUGUCUUUCCCUUCCUUCCUUCCUUCCUUCCUUCCUUCCUUCCUUCCUUCCUUCCUUCCUUCCUUCCUUCCUUCCUUCCUUCCUUCUUUCUUUCUUUCUUUCUUUCUUUCUUUCUUUCUUUCUUUCUUUCUUUCUUUCUUUCUUUCUUUCUUUCUUUCUUUCUUUCUUUCUUUCUUUCUUUCUUUCUUUCUUUCUUUCUUUCUUUCUUUCUUUCUUUCUUUCUUUCUUUCCUUGUUAUAAAGAAUGACUCUGAGCAGGUGAGAGAGAGGGAUAUAUUGGGGAAUGAAGGUUAUGUAAAAACAAGAUCUAUCCAAAAAUUGGAAAAAAAAUGAAAAUUAAGCAAGCUUUUUAGCAAUUUUGAGAUGCCUCUUCCCCUGGGAGAUAGGGAAGGGACUAAACAAGAAGGCUGUGGUGGAGGUAGGGUUGGAGGGAGACUCGGAGUGGGAUAGAGGGAAACCAAACUGACUAAGAAGGAUUUGAAAGGUCAUUUCAUUUUGAAUGAACUGAAGCUUGUGGCCAAUCUUUCCAGUGGUUCCUGUGUCCAUCCAUCAAUGUGUACUUCUUACCACAGAUUGAUGCUUCCAGCAAAAAGUGGUGCUGCAAUGGAUGAGAUCCAAAAUGACUCAUAACAAAUAGUGUAUAGCAGAAGAAGGCUUAGAGAUUUGACAUCUGUCAUGCUGUCUAUAAUUAAAACUUUUCUCCCUUAAAUGCUGUGGACAGAAGUUAAGCAAUAUGUGCUAGGCCAGACUUUGUAUGCCAGUGGUAGUAAAUAUUCUUCUCUCGACAACUUUUUCAGGUGAAAUGACAGAUAAGACAAUCCCCAGGAUUAUACACUGGAAUUCAGUGCUGUUGUCUUAUAGCAUCUGAAUUCUUCUCUUUUGGGGGGUUAGGGGGAGGGUCUUGUUUCUAACAAAUACAGACACUUCUGAAAAAAAUAAUAAAACCUAACUUUAAUAUGGCA